CUCCUAGGGGAGGCAGAGUGGGGAAUAUUGCACAAUGGGGGAAACCCUGAUGCAGCGACGCCGCGUGGAGGAAGAAGGUCUUCGGAUUGUAAACUCCUGUCCCAGGGGACGAUAAUGACGGUACCCUGGGAGGAAGCACCGGCUAACUACGUGCCAGCAGCCGCGGUAAAACGUAGGGUGCAAGCGUUGUCCGGAAUUACUGGGUGUAAAGGGAGCGCAGGCGGAUUGGCAAGUUGGGAGUGAAAUCUAUGGGCUCAACCCAUAAAUUGCUUUCAAAACUGUCAGUCUUGAGUGGUGUAGAGGUAGGCGGAAUUCCCGGUGUAGCGGUGGAAUGCGUAGAUAUCGGGAGGAACACCAGUGGCGAAGGCGGCCUACUGGGCACUAACUGACGCUGAGGCUCGAAAGCAUGGGUAGCAAACAGGAUUAGAUACCCUGGUAGUCCAUGCCGUAAACGAUGAUUACUAGGUGUGGGAGGAUUGACCCCUUCCGUGCCGCAGUUAACACAAUAAGUAAUCCACCUGGGGAGUACGACCGCAAGGUUGAAACUCAAAGGAAUUGACGGGGGCCCGCACAAGCAGUGGAGUAUGUGGUUUAAUUCGAAGCAACGCGAAGAACCUUACCAGGUCUUGACAUCGGAUGCAUACCUAAGAGAUUAGGGAAGUCUUCGGGACAUCCAGACAGGUGGUGCAUGGUUGUCGUCAGCUCGUGUCGUGAGAUGUUGGGUUAAGUCCCGCAACGAGCGCAACCCUUAUCGUUAGUUACUACGCAAGAGGACUCUAGCGAGACUGCCGUUGACAAAACGGAGGAAGGUGGGGAUGACGUCAAAUCAUCAUGCCCUUUAUGACCUGGGCUACACACGUACUACAAUGGCUAUUAACAGAGAGAAGCGAUACCGCGAGGUGGAGCAAACCUCACAAAAAUAGUCUCAGUUCGGAUCGCAGGCUGCAACCCGCCUGCGUGAAGCCGGAAUUGCUAGUAAUCGCGGAUCAGCAUGCCGCGGUGAAUACGUUCCCGGGCCUUGUACACACCGC
This 1031-nucleotide ribosomal RNA is filed under the name uncultured bacterium. RNAcentral's name for it is "bacterial SSU rRNA". It matches the Rfam family "Bacterial small subunit ribosomal RNA", at positions 336 to 1393 of the family's 1533-position model. The record is from RNAcentral.